GAUGAACGCUGGCGGCGUGCCUAAUACAUGCAAGUCGAGCGAACAGACGAGGAGCUUGCUGCUCUGACGUUAGCGGCGGACGGGUGAGUAACACGUGGAUAACCUACCUAUAAGACUGGGAUAACUUCGGGAAACCGGAGCUAAUACCGGAUAAUAUAUUGAACCGCAUGGUUCAAUAGUGAAAGACGGUUUUGCUGUCACUUAUAGAUGGAUCCGCGCCGCAUUAGCUAGUUGGUAAGGUAACGGCUUACCAAGGCAACGAUGCGUAGCCGACCUGAGAGGGUGAUCGGCCACACGGGAACUGAGACACGGUCCAGACUCCUACGGGAGGCAGCAGUAGGGAAUCUUCCGCAAUGGGCGAAAGCCUGACGGAGCAACGCCGCGUGAGUGAUGAAGGUCUUCGGAUCGUAAAACUCUGUUAUUAGGGAAGAACAAAUGUGUAAGUAACUAUGCACGUCUUGACGGUACCUAAUCAGAAAGCCACGGCUAACUACGUG
RNAcentral lists this ribosomal RNA (497 nucleotides) under uncultured bacterium. RNAcentral's name for it is "partial 16S ribosomal RNA". It matches the Rfam family "Bacterial small subunit ribosomal RNA", at positions 28 to 507 of the family's 1533-position model. The record is from RNAcentral.